RNAcentral lists this transfer RNA (54 nucleotides) under Lissachatina fulica (giant African snail). RNAcentral describes it as "tRNA-Lys". Lineage: Eukaryota; Metazoa; Mollusca; Gastropoda; Stylommatophora; Achatinidae. The record is from RNAcentral.
UGGCUGAGUUAAGCUGCAGAUUUUUGAUCUGCCUACGGGAUAUUUAAUUUCCCU